Molecule: non-coding RNA, 45 nt
Filed under: Schistosoma mattheei
Lineage: Eukaryota; Metazoa; Platyhelminthes; Trematoda; Strigeidida; Schistosomatidae
Source: RNAcentral
ACCCGGCUGAUGAGUCCCAAAUAAGACGAAACGCGCAUCAUGGAU